UUAGAAUUUUAUCCGCUUGUAAAAAUGUUUUUUUAAUAAAUUUCAGUGUGUAUAUAUAUAUAUAUAUAUAUAUAGAGUUGGAUUGGGCUACUAUUAGUAGCAAAAUUUCAUUGUUGCUACCAGUUUUUUAGCCUUUGGAUCAACUCUUUUCAUUAUUUCUAACCAUUGGAUUAAAUAUUAUAAUCCAGUGGGGACCACUCAACCCUAGGGGGACCACUCAACUCUAACCGACUAAUAUCAUCCUGACCCUACAAUUUUUCAUCCAAGGGUUAAAAACUUGAUAGCAAAAAGAGCAUUUUACUAUUAAUAGUAUUCCAGC
This 319-nucleotide long non-coding RNA is filed under the name Ananas comosus (pineapple). RNAcentral's name for it is "long non-coding RNA (ACOM_LNC040595)". Lineage: Eukaryota; Viridiplantae; Streptophyta; Magnoliopsida; Poales; Bromeliaceae. The record is from RNAcentral.